Molecule: small nuclear RNA, 79 nt
Organism: Neogale vison (American mink)
Lineage: Eukaryota; Metazoa; Chordata; Mammalia; Carnivora; Mustelidae
Source: Ensembl
GUGGCUGUACCAAUUUAUGUUCCUACCACAUAUUCUAAAAUUGUUAUUAUACAGAGAAGAUUAGCAUAGCCCCUGCACA